AGGCAGCCUCCUUGCGAAUGAUAUAAUGGCAAGGGUGGUGUUAUUCUGCUCAUAGAUUGAAUUUUCUGCUCUUCAGAUUUGCUGAGGUUGGGUAUCAUAAUCCUAUCUCUGAAGCUGGUCUAGUAAGCUCAAGCACAUU
Thalictrum thalictroides is the source of this 139-nucleotide non-coding RNA. NCBI's taxonomy places the organism in Eukaryota, Viridiplantae, Streptophyta, Magnoliopsida, Ranunculales, Ranunculaceae. The record is from the annotation of a GenBank genome assembly.